GUCUUUUUCAUUUACAAAAUGUUCAUAUUGUUAAUUAUGUUCUCUGCAGUUUUGUAUACCUAUGUAUUAAUAAUAUAAAUUUCAUGUUGCUUACACAUGAUAAUGUUGUUAUUUAAAUGUGCUAUAGCAUAAUUGUGCUUAUUGCAAUAAACGUAUUUAUCUUAUAUUAUAACCGGUAAUUACGGUUGCUGUCUGUGCAGACGUUUCAAUUCAAUCAAGGAUUUUGGCGAGGGAUUUACCCAUUAUGAAAAUGUUUUAAAUCUAUAGGCAUUUUUACGGAAGCCGAUAAGGGCCAUUCAAAAAAAAAAUUUAUGUCGUAAUUACGACAUAGCAUGUCGUAAUUUCGACAUAACAUGUCGUUAUUACGACAUCGCUAUGUCGUAAUUUCGACAUAACAUGUCGUUAAAACGACAUCGCUAUGUCGUAAUUUC
Molecule: long non-coding RNA, 431 nt
Filed under: Mytilus galloprovincialis (Mediterranean mussel)
Lineage: Eukaryota; Metazoa; Mollusca; Bivalvia; Mytilida; Mytilidae
Source: RNAcentral